This 423-nucleotide ribosomal RNA is filed under the name uncultured bacterium. RNAcentral describes it as "partial 16S ribosomal RNA". It matches the Rfam family "Bacterial small subunit ribosomal RNA", at positions 359 to 774 of the family's 1533-position model. The record is from RNAcentral.
GAAUAUUGGACAAUGGGCGAAAGCCUGAUUCAGCCAUGCCGCGUGUGUGAAGAAGGUCUGCGGAUUGUAAAGCACUUUCUGUUGGGAGGAAGGGCAGAAAGCGACUACAUUGCUGUUUUGAUGUUACCGACAGAAUAAGCACCGGCUAACUUUGUCCCAGCAGCCGCGGUAAUACCGAGGGUGCAAGCGUUAAUCGGAAUUACUGGGGGUACAGCGCGCGUAGGUGGUUCGUUAAGUUGGAAGUGAAAUCCCCGGGCUCAACCUGGGAACUGCAUCCAAAACUGGCGAGCUAGAGUAGGGCAGAGGGUGGUGGAAUUACCUGUGUAGCGGUGAAAUGCGUAGAUAUAGGAAGGAACACCAGUGGCGAGGGCGACCACCUGGGCUCAUACUGACACUGAGGUGCGAAAGCGUGGGGAGCAAACA